This is a small nuclear RNA of Zalophus californianus (California sea lion), 104 nucleotides long. The record is from Ensembl. NCBI's taxonomy places the organism in Eukaryota, Metazoa, Chordata, Mammalia, Carnivora, Otariidae.
GUGCUCGCUUCGGCGGCUCACACACUAGAAUUGGCACGAUGCAGAGAUUGGCCCGACCCUGGCGCAAGGAUGACAGACAAAUUUGUGAAGCAUUCCAUAUUUAA